This 459-nucleotide ribosomal RNA is filed under the name uncultured bacterium. RNAcentral's name for it is "partial 16S ribosomal RNA". It matches the Rfam family "Bacterial small subunit ribosomal RNA", at positions 338 to 795 of the family's 1533-position model. The record is from RNAcentral.
CCUACGGUGUGCAGCAGUGAGGAAUAUUGGGCAAUGGGCGGGAGCCUGAACCAGCCAAGCCGCGUGAGGGAAGAAGGUACAGCGUAUCGUAAACCUCUUUUGUCAGGGAACAAAGGCGGGGACUAGUCCCCGGAUGAGGGUACCGGAAGAAAAAGCAUCGGCUAACUCCGUGCCAGCAGCCGUGGUAAUACGGGGGAUGCGAGCGUUAUCCGGAUUUAUAGGGUGUAAAGGGUGCGCAGGGGGCAGUGUAAGUCAGCGGGAAAAGACCGGGGCUCAACCCCGGCGAGCCGUUGAAACUGGCGGGCUGGAGUUGGAGAGAGGAUAGCGGAAUGCGAGGUGUAGCGGUGAAAUGCUGAGAUAUCGCGCUGAACCCCGGUUGCGAAGGCAGCGUACCGGCUCCACACUGACGCUGAGGCACGAAAGCGUGGGUAUCGAACAGGAUUAGAUACCCUUGUAGUC